GCGGAUGUGGCGGAAUUGGUAUACGCGCACGCUUGAGGUGCGUGUGACUCACGUCUUGGGAGUUCGAGUCUCCCCAUCCGCA
Molecule: transfer RNA, 82 nt
Filed under: Aphanothece hegewaldii CCALA 016
Lineage: Bacteria; Bacillati; Cyanobacteriota; Cyanophyceae; Chroococcales; Aphanothecaceae
Rfam family: tRNA
About the family: Transfer RNA (tRNA) molecules are approximately 80 nucleotides in length.
Source: Rfam by way of RNAcentral